CAGUAGCCGCGGUAAUACGAAGGGGGCUAGCGUUGUUCGGAUUUACUGGGCGUAAAGGGCGCGUAGGCGGACUGAUAAGUCAGGGGUGAAAUCCCAAGGCUCAACCUUGGAACUGCCUUUGAUACUGUUUGUCUUGAGUUCGAGAGAGGUAAGUGGAACUGCGAGUGUAGAGGUGAAAUUCGUAGAUAUUCGCAAGAACACCAGUGGCGAAGGCGGCUCACUGGCUCGAAACUGACGCUGAGGCGCGAAAGCGUGGGGAGCAAACAGGAUUAGAUACCCGAGUAGUCCCUGUCUCUUAUAC
RNAcentral lists this ribosomal RNA (301 nucleotides) under uncultured bacterium. RNAcentral describes it as "partial 16S ribosomal RNA". It matches the Rfam family "Bacterial small subunit ribosomal RNA", at positions 509 to 807 of the family's 1533-position model. The record is from RNAcentral.